Molecule: long non-coding RNA, 2720 nt
Organism: Vicia villosa (hairy vetch)
Lineage: Eukaryota; Viridiplantae; Streptophyta; Magnoliopsida; Fabales; Fabaceae
Exons: 3
Source: RefSeq, a predicted model, not a curated record
UCCAACAUUAUUGACACAUCUAAACCUACAAGAGAGUUUCCAACAUACAACUAUUCAGAUCGCAGCAACGCAACACACAGAACCCAUCAUCCAUCUGCAGCACAUCGACACAACCUUAUCCUUCAAGCAGAUUCAACAGCAACCAUGCAUCAACAACGGAAGCACAACCUACAGAUCCUCCGUCUUUAAUAUCAACUUUCAGCACUGAUUUCCUCUGAUCUUCAACGCAAUCGCAAACACCGACGCGAGCUUCACCUCACAGACCACAUCAUCAUCAUCGGCGAAAACCGACACACACAACUGCAACGAUUCGAGAACGCAGCUGAGCUCAAUCCAGCAACGUCAUCGAUCAUCGUUAUCUGAUUCAAUCUGCAAUAACGAUUCAGGACACUUCUCCGACGAUAUUUUCGUUCAUUUUUAACCAAAACCAAAGCCACCCUAAUUCUCACCCUCAAAACGAGGUUGAGAUUCUAUCUGAUUACUAAUCAAGUGUUAGUUUUCUUGCGUGCGUGUAUCACACCUAAGUAAGUUCUCACUGUUCCUCUUGCAUAUUUAACUCUGAAUUUUAUGAUUCUUUUUUCUUGUAAUUUCUCAACAAUUUGUUUAUGCUAAAUGUAAAAUUAAUAGGUAAAUUUGAACUUUCAAGUGUGAGAUACAGAUGCAUGGAAAGUGUUUGUAAAAAUGUCUGUUUGAACUUUGACCAACCAUUGUUUCAAGAAUUAUUAAAUCAAGCAGAAGAAGAAUUCGGAUAUGAUCAUCCAAUGGGUGGUCUUACAAUCCCAUGCAGUUAAUGACAUAGAAGGACGUAGGUCCUGUAGCACUUCUUCUUGCUGUAACUCUGCUAUCUUAAACUUCAGUUGUGUGUGUGCCAACAUUUGCUCCUUCAGUCCUACUGGGAGUCCAUUUUUGCUAGCAUAUUGUAGUAUUUUAUUGAAGGCAUCCCUCUGUGAAACACAUAAGUAUUUCUCAUCAUUGCAUAGAUUUUAGCCUAUUAUUAAUCCUUCUAUCAUAUUGAUUUUAGUGUUAUUGAAUGCAAUGCUUAGUCAAGUAUUAAAUUACCAUAAAAAUCUUCCUAAAAUUUACCAUGGCAAAAGUUCGGACAGAGCUAUGGACCACCAAAUUUGUCAUGUUUCCAAUAAUAUUAGCAGUGAGGCCGACGUUAAACAGCAUAUAAAAUAUAUUGAAAACCUUCUCAGUUGUAUUUUCGGGUGAUUCGUGAUGGUAAGCCAACCAAAAAUACACGCAGCCUGUGAAGUGUACUUCAAAUAGCGUAACCUAUGGUAAACCAACAAAAGUGAAGUACCAAAUUAAGAACCUAAAUUUGACAAUUUGAUGGUUAUAUCUUAAUUGAGUCUUUACUCAUAAAGAAACUUUUUGGGCUUAGUUUCGUUGGAUAUAACAGGCAAGUUUCAAUGAGUUAGAAGCUCAUCAUAGAGCUUAGUUUCAUUUGAUAUAUAAUUGACUAGUUUCAAUAAGCCAGAAACAGUUUUAAUGCACCUUUGUUUUCGUUGUUGCAAUGGUAUGCUUGUUCAAGAUCCUACUAGAGGUGGUCAUACUGUGGAUGAUAUUUUUGAUCAGGCUAGGCAAGUAGCUAUUGAUGCUCCUACUGAAAAUUCUUCAAGUUCAAGAAGUUUUACUGGAACAGUCAGAUUGCUUUUUCUGGAGAGUCUUUGUCUUCCGCUCCUCAGCAUGAACUUCAGAAGAUUGCCCAAAGGUUUGAAGAUAAGAUUUUUACUUCUGCAACAAGCCAGUCUCAUUAUCAAAAGCCUUUCUUAAAAUUCAAAUUCAACUACUCCGCUCUUGUUAUUCAUCGGAACCCGCCGUUGGCUGCUAAACUACAAUAACUAUCAAGUUCAAGGGAUUUUCUUGUUAAUUUCUACCAUUUUGUGUUCAUCAAAAACCCACAACAUCAAGUUGCGAAACACCUCUCUUUCUUGGAAUUGGAGGCGAGGUUCUCUCAUUCUCUUUUUUGGAAUUGGAGGUUCUUUCUUUUCAUGCUUUAAUUAGUUUUUAUUUUCCGUUGACAUGACAGGGUUUAGACAUCUAUGGAAGAAUUUAUUUGAAUGAACAAGGGAUUAAUGCGAAGGUUUUUUUUAUCCAUGUGCUUCUCAGGGUAUUUGGAAAAUACAGAAAAAGAUAGAAUCAAGAGAUUGAUAAGGUUGAAGCCUCCUACUGAGUUCUGAGUGAGAAAUUCUGAGGCAGUCAUUAUAGAACGAUUGGUUUGAGUUGUGUGUUGAGCAUCUUGUGAGUUAGAAUGGCAUGUAACAGAAGCCAGGCAGAUUUUCUUUUUCCUUUUUAUUCUUGCCUUGUGUCAAUUGCACUCCAUCGUUUUUAUAUUAUGGAUACACAUUUCUAUUUCAUGCAUGGAAAACAAUAAUUAUAUGCCACUGGUCCAAUGUUCCAGAUAUGUAACAUUCUUGGUAACUGGUUCUCACAAUCUUAGAGAUGUAACAUUCUUGAUAAGUACUUGUUUCACAUAUGCAUCCCACUAUACACAUUCAACCUAUCUUAUUUCUACCAUAAACAUGUGCUAAGUGUUAUGACUAUAUGUGAAUAGCAUGCGGGGAUCUUGGGUUUCAUCGUGUUUUUGCUUUAGUUGGAAUAUGGGCACGAGUUAUUGAAAACACCUUUUUUAAGAAAAAAAGUACAGUUUCGGAAAUGAACUUUCGAAAACACCUUUUUCUUCACCCACCUCCUAACCUUCUUGGCCACCUCUGGUA